UUUACAAUUAUAACAAGCAUGUGCCAAGGAUUAAUAAAUACGUACAUCCUCCCUUCUUCAUUGAAUGAUCAUUGACCUUCUUGAGGAGGAGAAAAGUGGCCUAAACUAGGAUACAUAGCAUUAAAUUAAUGUUGUGGUUGGACAUCUGACAUACUUAAUAAAAUGAAGAAUUAAGAGACCAUGUUUAGAAUGCAUACGAAAAGGGGAGUUCUGAGAACAGUAGCAGCCUAGCAGGGAUCGUCACCAGAUUCAAUUAAUAAGCUUUAAGAGAGCCUCAAAAGAGGUGCAGUAUAAAUGCAUGUCAUAAAGGCCAUUAUUGUAGUUCUUCUGAAAUCGAGCAUCAGCUAUAUUUAAUAUCAUAUUUAUUGUUUUGAUAUCAUAAUAAGCUUAAGUGAUUUGGCAGCUUAAUUAGAGAUUUCCUUUGUUCCUGACGUGCCUUUUUGGAUGCUAUGAAUCUUGGAGAAUUUUGGAACUCCAUUUGUGCUGGGAGAAGAAGGCUUCAUUCAUGUCAGUUUAAUCUUAGUUGUGAGAAUAUAUUUGAAGCUUAUUUGCUGUUCGCCAGUAAGCAUACUAUGGUUUGGGAAGGAUUCAAAGGAUUGGUUGUUCUUAUUGGAGUAUACAUUUCGGGAAAGCAAGAAAGAAGAUUUUUUUUAUAAUACAGUUCUGAUAUUCAGAGCGAAAAUAGAGAAGUCUACAAAUAAAAUAAGCCAAAUCAAAAGUGUCCAAUACCGGGUUCUAAGCAAUAUUCUUAUACGAAAGCAUCAAUUUAACCCUAUUUCAAUUCAAAAGUAAAGGUAACAGGGCUCACAAGGCCUGUCGGUCCCUACUGGCAAGAUAGAUCCCGAAUUUGGAGAACUAGGCUAGACUUUUCCUGUUGAGUGUUGAAGUGGUGGUAACUAAGUUUCAUUGGGUUGCGGUUGUCACUCCCCGCGUAGGAGAUGAAGGAUCUCAUGUUGAGAAUCCUCCAGAAUCCUCCAUCCAAUGCACUCAUCUUCCAAAGAAUGAUCCAAGCCAAGCGGGGUAAUGCCUUAUGGAGUAGGAGGAUGCAGAGGUUUGAUGACCUUGCUGGCUCUGAAAAUAUAUCUAGAUGGGUUGCUACGGAUGGAAGACCGACUAUCAUAACUACUACUUGGCAUGCUUGAGCGGGAUCUGAAUAGCUCCUGUAUGGAAUAUGACCCAGCUGGUCUACAAGGGCUGUAAUAAAAGACACUUGUUUGUUCACAGCGAGAUUUGAAGAGCAGUUCAAAUUUUGGGGCAUUGUUAAGCUCCUCUAUGUCCACAGCGAAUAAUAGCCGUAGGAUCUGGAUGGCCUCGAUUUGAUUUCCCAUGAGUAUUUACAUAGAUGCAAUACAAUUUUUUAUGUAUUUUCGAAUAUCUAAAUAUGUAUUUAU
Long non-coding RNA from Phalaenopsis equestris, 1391 nucleotides. RefSeq lists it as uncharacterized. The transcript is spliced from 4 exons. The record is from RefSeq and is a predicted model, not a curated record. NCBI's taxonomy places the organism in Eukaryota, Viridiplantae, Streptophyta, Magnoliopsida, Asparagales, Orchidaceae.